AACGCACAUUGCGCCCCCUGGUAUUCCGGGGGGCACACCUGUUCGAGCGCCAUUUUCACCAUCGAGCCCUGCUCGGAGAUGGGCCUCGUCCUCGCGGACGGGCCCGAAACCCGUGGGCGCCAUUGUCCGGCCCUGAGCGUAGCAAGAGAAAUCCCUCGCUCGGUGGACCGUCCAGUGGCCGCCCCGACCAUUUUUACAAGGUUGGCCUCGGAUCAGGUGGGGAUACCCGCUGAACUUAA
RNAcentral lists this unclassified non-coding RNA (239 nucleotides) under Mollisia sp. RNAcentral's name for it is "partial contains 5.8S ribosomal RNA, internal transcribed spacer 2, and large subunit ribosomal RNA". Lineage: Eukaryota; Fungi; Ascomycota; Leotiomycetes; Helotiales; Mollisiaceae. The record is from RNAcentral. RNAcentral also lists the same sequence under 2 other names.